Molecule: ribosomal RNA, 402 nt
Filed under: bacterium
Lineage: Bacteria
Description: partial 16S ribosomal RNA
Rfam family: Bacterial small subunit ribosomal RNA
Source: RNAcentral
UGGGGAAUUUUGCACAAUGGGGGAAACCCUGAUGCAGCGACGCCGCGUGAUUUAGAAGGCCUUCGGGUUGUAAAAAUCUUUUCUAUGGGAAGAAAAUGACAGUACCAUAGGAAUAAGGACCGGCUAAUUACGUGCCAGCAGCCGCGGUAAUACGUAAGGUCCGAGCGUUGUCCGGAAUCAUUGGGCGUAAAGGGUACGUAGGCGGGUAAGCAAGUUAGAAGUGAAAUCCUAUAGCUCAACUAUAGUAAGCUUUUAAAACUGCUCAUCUUGAGGUAUGGAAGGGAAAGUGGAAUUCCUAGUGUAGCGGUGAAAUGCGCAGAUAUUAGGAGGAAUACCGGUGGCGAAGGCGACUUUCUGGCCAUAGCCUGACGCUGAGGUACGAAAGCGUGGGUAGCAAACAGG